GUGGGGAAUCUUGCGCAAUGGGCGAAAGCCUGACGCAGCGACGCCGCGUGGGGGAUGAAGCUUCUCGGAGUGUAAACCCCUUUCGACCCGGACGAAACGCCCGCAAGGGCUUGACGGUACGGGUAUAAGAAGCCCCGGCUAACUACGUGCCAGCAGCCGCGGUAAGACGUAGGGGGCCAGCGUUGCUCGGAAUUACUGGGCGUAAAGGGUUCGUAGGCGGUGCGGUAAGUCGGAAGUGAAAUCUCUGGGCUUAACUCAGAGGCUGCUUUCGAAACUGCCGUGCUAGAGUGCGGGAGAGGCGAGUGGAAUUACAGGUGUAGCGGUGAAAUGCGUAGAUAUCUGUAGGAACACCCGUGGCGAAGGCGGCUCGCUGGACCGCAACUGACGCUGAGGAACGAAAGCUAGGGGAGCAAACAGGAUUAGAUACCCCUGUAGUCC
Molecule: ribosomal RNA, 438 nt
Filed under: uncultured bacterium
Lineage: Bacteria
Description: bacterial SSU rRNA
Rfam family: Bacterial small subunit ribosomal RNA
Source: RNAcentral